RNAcentral lists this transfer RNA (73 nucleotides) under Solirubrobacteraceae bacterium. Its description in RNAcentral is "tRNA-Trp". It matches the Rfam family "tRNA". From Rfam's summary of the family: Transfer RNA (tRNA) molecules are approximately 80 nucleotides in length. Their secondary structure includes four short double-helical elements and three loops (D, anti-codon, and T loops). Lineage: Bacteria; Bacillati; Actinomycetota; Thermoleophilia; Solirubrobacterales; Solirubrobacteraceae. The record is from RNAcentral.
GGGGCACUAGCUCAACUGGCUGAGCGCCGGUCUCCAAAACCGGAGGUUGCAGGUUCGAGUCCUGCGUGCCCCG